AAUAUUAGAUAUACUAUGGAAAAAAUGAUUAUAGGAAUAUUAUUUUGUUGUGCUUCUAAACCUAGAAAUUGCGUAGCACCGGUACUUGAAGGUAUGUCUGGUGUCUAAUAUGUGUCGGUGCCUAACAUGUUAGGAAUAUUAUUGGUUGUGUUUCUAAACCUACACACUGUGUUGCACCGACACUUAAAGGCAUGUAUGGUGUCUGACAUGUGUCGACAUGUUAGUGUGUCAGCUAGGCUAGCAACAA
This 247-nucleotide long non-coding RNA is filed under the name Trifolium pratense (red clover). Its description in RNAcentral is "long non-coding RNA (TPRA_LNC002307)". Lineage: Eukaryota; Viridiplantae; Streptophyta; Magnoliopsida; Fabales; Fabaceae. The record is from RNAcentral.